GUGUUGCUCAAUGUCCUAGACACUUACCGUUUCUGAAAAGUGGGGAGGAAAAGAUUGUAAACACAUGAAUUUUGACUGUGUUUCCUUAUUGUUUCUGAAAUUUUGCUUGUGUUUCACCCACUACACUUUUUUUUUUACUCCUCACAUGGUUGAUAAUCUUCAUGAUUUUGUUUGACUUGUAAUGUUUUCGAUCUGAUGUGUAAUCUGUAUUCCAGUAGACAUGUCUGAAGGAGUGCUGCGAGCUCUUUCUCUGCAAGCAUUAGGCCUGGGUGUUGAUAUUCAACUUGGGAUGGCAAUCGAUAGUACAAAGGCUACACUAGCAGUGAAACGGAGGCUUGCCAUGGUGAAGUACUGGCAUAUCGCUUGCCAAUGUUUCAGAUUCAUCUAAAACCAAAGGUCCUAUCCAUUGAAUAUUAUAUAAAUGAUUAUGAUUGUCUUGUCAUGUUAUUUCUUUUUCAGGAUCUUGAUUGGAAAAUGGAUCUGUUUCAGUUAAAAGCAAGUUUGAUGAUAAAAUAGAGGCCGCUUCAGCUAAAAUGAUUUAUUAGAAAAACAAGUGGAGAUACAACCAGCAAGAACUAAAGAUCCUUCAAAGAGAAAAAAGGUACUUGCAUCUAGUUAAACCAUUACUAGCUUGUUUGACUAUAUCCCUAUUUGCUUGCAGGUUAUACAAUGAGACUAUAAGCUGAGUUCAUAUUCUUUGAAUUCUGUUUCUGCACACUUUCUCGCAGAGCAGGUGGUCUGGUGUUUACUGAUAGAGUCGUUCCCAGAAUCGGCCCUGAAUGAACAGGCAGGCAAGAUGUUACCUAAGAAUUACGAGGAGUGUGCAAGGCAUGCCAGGUAAGGCCCCACCAAGACUGGGAGCAAGAUGGAUUCACUCAUUUUUAUACCCGACCUUGUCAAAACCACAAAGUCUGAACAGUCUGUUGCUGUUGUUGGGAGAGAACCAUUGCCAGUUUCUCAGUCAGAAGAACAGAAAUUUAUUGAACAAGAAACAGGCAAGGAAACUGAGAUUGAGCCUAAAAAUGCAAGCGUUCAGAGGCCAGUUGACCUUUAUAAGGAACCCAUUAUGCUGCAGUUGUUGAGAACCGUACAGAUUUCCAUGGUCGUGUGGUGGUUGAUGUUGGUGCUGGUAGUAGUAUUCUUUCAUUAUUUGUUGUGUAAAUUACUACAUUUUGUUGUGUAAAGAUGUUGUGGGUGGAAGGCUAGGAAAGGAAGACAUUUGUAGUUUGUUUUAGUAAAUUAAUUGUUUUGUUGAUAUUGUGCUGAUUAUUGUCUUGAUGAAUGUUAAAUGGGUGAAAUAUGUACAGGUUCAAUCAUUU
Molecule: long non-coding RNA, 1319 nt
Organism: Magnolia sinica
Lineage: Eukaryota; Viridiplantae; Streptophyta; Magnoliopsida; Magnoliales; Magnoliaceae
Exons: 5
Source: RefSeq, a predicted model, not a curated record